This 250-nucleotide ribosomal RNA is filed under the name uncultured bacterium. RNAcentral describes it as "partial 16S ribosomal RNA". It matches the Rfam family "Bacterial small subunit ribosomal RNA", at positions 87 to 339 of the family's 1533-position model. The record is from RNAcentral.
UGAUUAGAGCGGCGGACGGGUGAGUAACGCGUAGGAAUCUACCUAGUAGCGGGGGAUAGCCCGAGGAAACUCGGAUUAAUACCGUAUACCUCCUUCGGGAGAAAGAAGGCCUCUCUUUGAAGCUUUCGCUACUAGAUGAGCCUGCGUAAGAUUAGCUUGUUGGUGAGGUAAAGGCUCACCAAGGCGACGAUCUUUAGCGGGUCUGAGAGGACGAUCCGCCACAUUGGGACUGAGACACGGCCCAGACUGC